This is a non-coding RNA of Cyanistes caeruleus (blue tit), 250 nucleotides long. Lineage: Eukaryota; Metazoa; Chordata; Aves; Passeriformes; Paridae. The record is from RefSeq and is a predicted model, not a curated record.
UGAGUAAUUAACGAGCUCGUUAACGAGCAUCGGCUCAUUAACAUCCCCACCGCUCAUUAACGGGGUCAUUAACGGGGUCAUUAACGGGGUCAUUAACGGGGUCAUUAACGGGGCACAGCGCCAUCCUGGCGGCGCCAAAUCCUGACGAGAAGACCAAGCAGGAGCUCGAGGACCUCACGGCCGACAUCAAGAAAACGGCCAACAAAGUGCGCUCCAAGUUGAAAGGUGACCACUCCGGCCACUGAGUGAC